This 428-nucleotide ribosomal RNA is filed under the name uncultured bacterium. RNAcentral's name for it is "bacterial SSU rRNA". It matches the Rfam family "Bacterial small subunit ribosomal RNA", at positions 355 to 776 of the family's 1533-position model. The record is from RNAcentral.
UCGAGAAUUUUUCUCAAUGGGGGAAACCCUGAAGGAGCGACGCCGCGUGGAGGAUGAAGGUUUUCGGAUUGUAAACUCCUGUCAUUGGGGAACAAUUUUACGGUUUUAACUGAGCCGUAAUUGAUAGUACCCGAAGAGGAAGAGACGGCUAACUCUGUGCCAGCAGCCGCGGUAAUACAGAGGUCUCAAGCGUUGUUCGGAUUCAUUGGGCGUAAAGGGUGCGUAGGCUGUAGAGUAAGUUGGAUGUGAAAUCCCGGGGCUUAACCCCGGAACUGCAUUCAAUACUGCCCUACUAGAGUACUGGAGAGGAGAUUGGAAUUCACGGUGUAGCAGUGAAAUGCGUAGAUAUCGUGAGGAAGACCAGUGGCGAAGGCGAAUCUCUGGACAGUUACUGACGCUGAGGCACGAAGGCCAGGGGAGCAAACGGG